This 875-nucleotide non-coding RNA is filed under the name Comanthus sp. 2 MS-2014. Lineage: Eukaryota; Metazoa; Echinodermata; Crinoidea; Comatulida; Comatulidae. The record is from RNAcentral.
AGAAAACUUGGUCCCAAUUUCUUUUACUUUUUUUUCUAUAAUGAUACAUGCAAAGGUAAAUAAUCUCAACCAGUGAGGCUUAAAUAAAUUUUUUAUAAAUUUUUAUAAAAAUGAAAUGAAAUAAAGAAAACCUUUUUUCUAUAAUCAUAGAUAAUCCACAACAGCAGUACUAAAAAUUAAGCAAUUAGUAAAAGCCAGACUUAAUAAUAGAAAAUAAACAUUGGUUAAAAUACGUGCCAGCCACCGCGGUUAUACGUAAAAUGUAAAAAGUAAUAUAAACACCUUAGUGACAAGAACCCACUCUUAAGUAAAUAAAACCUAAAUAUCAACAGUUAAAUGUAUAAAUAAAAAGAAACCCUAAAACACAAAAGUAAUUUACUAAAAAAAAUUCACGUAAAUAUAAAAACAAACCAGGAUUAGAGACCCUGCUAUGUUAUAUCAUAAACAUAAAGAAAGAACUACAAGCAAAAGCUUAAAACUUAAAGGACUUGGCGGUUUUUUAGACCUUCCUAGAGGAGCCUGCCUCACAAUUGUCAACCCGCAAAACACCUAACCUACCUUAGAAAUUAAAUCCAGCCUGUAUAUCAUCAUCGUCAGCUCACCUCCCCAAAAGAAAGUAAGCAAAAUGGAACCCUCCAAAACGUUAGAUCAAGAUGCAGCCAAUAAGUAGGGGAAUGGUGGGCUACAAUAUUCAUUACCGAAUAACGAAAUUUUUAUUUAAAACAUCAAAAAAGUAGGAUUUAGCAGUAAGAGGGAUAAAGAAAAGCCCCCUGAAAAAGCCCUAAAAUACGUACACACCGCCCGUCACUCUCUUUAUCACAAAAAGAGAAAAGUCGUAACAAGGUAAGAGUAGGGGAACCUGCUCUUGGAAGGUU